ACAUUUGACAUGCUCUUAAACACAUGCCCUAACAACACACAACAUUCCAGGAAUGUACUACCAAAGUUCUAUCAAUAUUUGAAUGUCCUGGACAUUUAGGGAACAUUCGGUGAACAUCUGUUUAAAUUAUUCCUGGAAUGUUACCAUAAGACAUUCUGUGAACAUACUACCAAUGUUCCUAUAUUUUAAGUUGCGAAAUAAUACAUACGUGUAACAGAUACAACAUUACUUAUAACAUACCAGACAAACUAAGUGACACUUUAGGCCUACAGUGCAAUAAUAUGUCAAAUUUAAAGAGUUUCCCAAGUUCAAUUAAUACAAUAUUAUAAACAUACAAAUGUAAUAAAAAUUAUUGUUCGCGAAUAUUCAAUUUGGAAUGCGAUUUUGUUAAUAAAAAAAUACUUAUAACUUAUGCAAAACCCAAGAGAGGCAUUUAUAUUUAUUUCUUUUGCGUUCAUUUUCAAAUUCGCCGUGCAUAUAUUUUUGUGCAUGGCGCUUGAGAGGGCAUCACGUGACUAAAAACGACCAACCAACGACCUCGCUUCGGCCAUCUUGGCAUCUUCAUCUUGGCCACCUUGCUUUGCCGUGGGUGGAUCGUUGUUAUUUGUGCUUUUUAAGAAUAUUUUUUUAAUCCGGAUACUUUUAUAAUAGCUUUAAUAGUAUUAUUAACAUAGUGAAUAAAAUGGUGUCCUGUUUUUAACGCAGUUGGAGUAGCAGAAACAAAUAAUGUAGAUAAAAAAAUCUGCAGGAAUAACGUUUCAAUUAUGACAGAAGCUCCAAACAAAUGACUGUGAAUGAAAAGCCCUAUUAAAAGCUUUCCAGAAGAUCCUGCGAAGAAGACAUGAAGUAUAGAUCAGAUUUGUUAAUAGAGGAGUAUGUUCAAAACACUUUUUAGAAAAAGAUAUUGACAGAACUUCACUUUCAUCUGUUCGUUUAAGAGACUGUGCUGUUCCAAUAGCUUAUGUCACACAGAAUCAGCUGAGAGAAGUGGUCUACAAAAAACCAGAAAGGAAACGGAAUAUGUGGCUACGAAAAGCAAAAGAAAGGUUUACAAAGCAAAUGUGACACAUUUUUUUAUAAUAUUUAGGAAUGUCAGUAAAUUACAUUAAAAAAUGUAUGUAAAGAUUUUGUGCAAUAAAAAUGUUUAUAUUUAUCAAGGAUGUAUUAUUUGGUAUGGCCACAUAUCGUCAGUGAUGUGACAAUACCUCCUAUCUGUUUUUUUCAAGAGAUUUGUAAGAUAGACUAAAAACUUGUUUCGGCCACCUCCUGUUUUCAUAUAUUUUUUGACUUGUUUUGCAGUAAAUUCAACUAUCUAUUUACUACAAAAAAGUCAGAAUACGUACGAAAACAGAAAGUGACCUUAAAAAAUGUUUUUCGUCUCCUGCAAACCUCAUGAAAAAACAUAGGAGGUAUUGCCACAUUACUGACGAUAUAUUUCAGUGAAUGUCUAAAAAAUAUACUGUGAAUGUUCAAAGAACGUUCGUAGACAUUCAUGGAAUGUUUUAACAAGACAUUCAGUCUAAAAAUAUACUGUGAAUGUCCAAAG
Long non-coding RNA from Diabrotica virgifera virgifera (western corn rootworm), 1546 nucleotides. RefSeq lists it as uncharacterized. The record is from RefSeq and is a predicted model, not a curated record. The transcript is spliced from 3 exons. NCBI's taxonomy places the organism in Eukaryota, Metazoa, Arthropoda, Insecta, Coleoptera, Chrysomelidae.